This 253-nucleotide ribosomal RNA is filed under the name uncultured bacterium. RNAcentral's name for it is "partial 16S ribosomal RNA". It matches the Rfam family "Bacterial small subunit ribosomal RNA", at positions 524 to 776 of the family's 1533-position model. The record is from RNAcentral.
CACGUAGGGCGCGAGCGUUGUCCGGAAUUAUUGGGCGUAAAGAGCUCGUAGGCGGCCUGUUGCGUCCGCUGUGAAAGCCCGGGGCUUAACCCCGGGUCGCAGUGGAUACGGGCAGGCUAGAGGUAGGUAGGGGAGAAUGGAAUUCCCGGUGUAGCGGUGAAAUGCGCAGAUAUCGGGAGGAACACCGGUGGCGAAGGCGGUUCUCUGGGCCUUACCUGACGCUGAGGAGCGAAAAGCGUGGGGAGCGAACAGG